This 253-nucleotide ribosomal RNA is filed under the name uncultured bacterium. RNAcentral describes it as "partial 16S ribosomal RNA". It matches the Rfam family "Bacterial small subunit ribosomal RNA", at positions 524 to 776 of the family's 1533-position model. The record is from RNAcentral.
GACGUAGGGGGCAAGCGUUGUUCGGAAUUAUUGGGCGUAAAGCGCUCGUAGGCGGGACUGGAAGUCCGUGUUGAAAGACCUCGGCUCAACUGAGGGACCGGCUCGGAUACUCUAGUUCUUGAGGCGAUCAGAGGGUGAUGGAAUUCCCGGUGUAGCGGUGAAAUGCGCAGAUAUCAGGAGGAACACCGAUGGCGAAGGCAGGUCUCUGGGCUGUAACUGACGCUGAGGAGCGAAAGCAUGGGGAGCGAACAGG